This 1091-nucleotide ribosomal RNA is filed under the name uncultured organism. RNAcentral describes it as "bacterial SSU rRNA". It matches the Rfam family "Bacterial small subunit ribosomal RNA", at positions 351 to 1429 of the family's 1533-position model. The record is from RNAcentral.
GCAAUCGAGAAUCCUCCGCAAUGGGCGAAAGCCUGACGGGGUGACGCCGCGUGACCGAUGAAGGCUCUUACGGGUCGUAAAGGUCUUACAGGGAGUAUGAAAUAUACUGGGGCUAAUAUCUCCAGUAUUUGACGUCAAUCUCAAAUGAAGUCACGGCUAAAUUUGUGCCAGCAGCCGCGGUAAGACAAAUGUGGCAAGCGUUGUUCGGAAUCACUGGGCAUAAAGGGCACGUAGGCGGCGUAGUAAGUUAACUGGGAAAUCCCCCGGCUCAACCGGGGAACUGCAGUUAAUACUGCUGUGCUAGAGUGCAGAAGAGGAGAGUGGAAUUCUAGGUGUAGCGGUGGAAUGCGAAGAAAUCUAGGAGAAGGCCGGUGGCGAAAGCGACUCUCUGGUCUGUUACUGACGCUGAGGUGCGAGAGCGCAGGUAGCGAACGGGAUUAGAUACCCCGGUAGUCUGUGCCGUAAACGAUGGGCACUAGAUGGUGGAGGCGCCGAUAGCUUUCUCCGUCGCAGCUAAUACGUUAAGUGCCCCGCCUGGGGAGUAUGGCCGCAAGGUUAAAACUCAAAGGAAUUGACGGGGGCCCACACAAGCGGUGGAGGAUGUGGCUUAAUUCGAGGAUACCCGUAAAACCUCACCGAGGCUUGACAUGCAGGUGGUAGUGAAGUGAAAGCGGAACGACCCGAAUAGGGAGCCUGCACAGGUGCUGCAUGGCUGUCGACAGCUCGUGUCGUGAGAUGUUAGGUUAAGUCCUGUAACGAGCGAAACCCUUGUGCUUAAUUGCCAGCGCGUUAUGGCGGGGACCUUAAGCAGACUGCCCCGGCCAACGGGGAGGAAGGUGGGGAUGACGUCAAGUCAGCAUGGCCUUUAUGCCUCGGGCUGCACACGUCCUACAAUGGGCUGUACAAUGGGGACCCAAACCGCAAGGUGGAGGAAAUCCUAUAAAGCAGUCCUCAGUUCGGAUUGCAGGCUGAAAUUCGCCUGCAUGAAGAUGGAAUCGCUAGUAAUCGCCGGUCAGCAUACGGCGGUGAAUACGUCCCUGGGCCUUGACACACCGCCCGUCAAGCCACCCGAGUUGGAGCACCCGAAUCCG